RNAcentral lists this ribosomal RNA (465 nucleotides) under uncultured bacterium. Its description in RNAcentral is "partial 16S ribosomal RNA". It matches the Rfam family "Bacterial small subunit ribosomal RNA", at positions 28 to 507 of the family's 1533-position model. The record is from RNAcentral.
GACGAACGCUGGCGGCGUGCUUAACACAUGCAAGUCGAACGGAAAGGCCCUGCUUGUGGGGUACUCGCGUGGCGAACGGGUGAGUAACACGCGGGUGAUCUGCCCUGCACUUCGGGAUAAACCUGGGCAACUGGGUGGAAUAAAGAAUAGAAGCCAUUUUUAGUGUGAUGGUUGGAUAGUUAUUUCGGUGUAGGAUGAGCUCGCUGGCUAUCAGCUUGUUGGUGGGGUAAUGGCCUACCAAGGCGGCGUCGGGUAGCCGGCCUGAGUGGGUGGACGGCCACCCUGGGACUGAGGUGCGGCCCAGGCUCCUACGGGGGGGAACAGGGGGGAAUAUUGCACAAUGGGCGCAAGCCUGGUGCAGCGAGGCCGCGUGGGGGAUGACGGCCUUCGGGUUGUAAACCCCUUUCGCUAGGGACGAAGCUUUUUGUGACGGUACCUAGAUAAGAAGCACCGGCUAACUACGUG